AGUUAACGGAUGAAUGAAUUUGUC
This 24-nucleotide microRNA is filed under the name Glycine max (soybean). RNAcentral describes it as "gma-miR10407b". Lineage: Eukaryota; Viridiplantae; Streptophyta; Magnoliopsida; Fabales; Fabaceae. The record is from miRBase by way of RNAcentral.